AGUCGAGCCUGCCCAGUGAUUAAAUUUAACGGCCGCGGUACUCUGACCGUGCAAAGGUAGCAUAAUCAUUUGCCCUAUAAUUGAGGGCUAGUAUGAAUGGUUUGACAAGAGUAAUUCUGUCUCUAUAAAAUUUUGUAGAACUUGGUUUUUAGGUGAAGAAACCUAAAUAAUAUUGAAAGACAAGAAGACCCUAUCGAGCUUAAAAAAAUUUUAUUGAUUAAAUACAAAAAUCAUUUUAAUAAAAAAUUUUGGUUGGGGCGACUAAGGAACAUAAAAAGCUUCCUUUUUAUUAUAAAAACUAAUAAGUAUUGAUCCAAAAAAAAUUGAUUAAUAAAAUUAGUUACCGUAGGGAUAACAGCAUAAUCUUUUUUAAGAGUUCUUAUCGAAAAAAAGGUUUGUGACCUCGAUGUUGGACUAGGAUAUCCUGAAGAUGUAGAAGUCUUCAAAGGUUGGUCUGUUCGACCAAUAAAAUCCUACGUGAUCUGAGUUCAGACCG
RNAcentral lists this ribosomal RNA (496 nucleotides) under Kobeltocochlea falsipumyla. RNAcentral's name for it is "partial large subunit ribosomal RNA". It matches the Rfam family "Bacterial large subunit ribosomal RNA", at positions 1851 to 2618 of the family's 2925-position model. The record is from RNAcentral. Lineage: Eukaryota; Metazoa; Mollusca; Gastropoda; Littorinimorpha; Benedictiidae.